AUGAUGGACUAUAGGACAGGACUGCUGCUUCUAACUAUCUGCUGGACAGGUGUUGAUGGUCAGACUCUGACAGAAUCUGACCCAGCAGUUAAAAAGCCUGGAGAAUCUCACAAACUGACCUGUACAACAUCUGGAUUGUCAUUCAGUAGCUACUGGAUGGCCUGGAUCAGACAGGCUCCUGGAAAAGGACUGGAGUGGAUUGCUACUGAUGGUGGUGGUAGCACCAAAUACUACUCUCAGUCAGUUCAAGGCCGGUUCACCAUCUCCAGAGACGACAGCAGAGAGCAGCUGUAUCUGCAGAUGAACAGUCUGAAGACUGAAGAUUCUGCUGUUUAUUAUUGUGCUCGACACUCACAGUGA
Molecule: non-coding RNA, 360 nt
Organism: Scomber scombrus (Atlantic mackerel)
Lineage: Eukaryota; Metazoa; Chordata; Actinopteri; Scombriformes; Scombridae
Source: the annotation of a RefSeq genome assembly